GUAACAAGGUCUCCGUUGGUGAACCAGCGGAGGGAUCAUUAAAGAGUUUUCGUAACUCCCAAACCCAUGUGAACUUACCUUCUGUUGCCUCGGCAGGUCGUGUCUACCCUGUGGUCACCUACCCUGUAGGUGACUACCUGGUAGUCACGGGGGUUUGCCUGCCAGUGGCCCGUUAAAACACUGUUUAUUAUAUGUUAUUCUGAUUUUACAACUAAAUAAGUUAAAACUUUCAACAACGGAUCUCUUGGUUCUGGCAUCGAUGAAGAACGCAGCGAAAUGCGAUAAGUAAUGUGAAUUGCAGAAUUCAGUGAAUCAUCGAAUCUUUGAACGCACAUUGCGCCCAUUAGUAUUCUAGUGGGCAUGCCUGUUCGAGCGUCAUUUCAACCCUUAAGCCCCUGUUGCUUAGUGUUGGGAGCCUACAGUCCUCUGUAGCUCCCUAAAGUUAGUGGCGGAGUCGGUUUGCACUCUAGACGUAGUAGCUUCUAUCUCGUCUAUAGUUAGGCCGGUCUCUCGCCGUAAAACCCCCUAAUUUUUUCAAGGUUGACCUCGGAUCAGGUAGGAAUACCCGCUGAACUUAAGCAUAUCAAGCAAAAGAAACCAACAGGGAUUGCCCUAGUAACGGCGAGUGAAGCGGCAACAGCUCAAAUUUGAAAUCUGGCCUUCGGGUCCGAGUUGUAAUUUGUAGAGGAUGCUUUUGGCGCGGUGCCUUCCGAGUUCCCUGGAACGGGACGCCUUAGAGGGUGAGAGCCCCGUACGGUUGGACACCAAGCCUCUGUAAAGCUCCUUCGACGAGUCGAGUAGUUUGGGAAUGCUGCUCUAAAUGGGAGGUAAAUUUCUUCUAAAGCUAAAUAUUGGCCAGAGACCGAUAGCGCACAAGUAGAGUGAUCGAAAGAUGAAAAGCACUUUGAAAAGAGGGUUAAAUAGCACGUGAAAUUGUUGAAAGGGAAGCGUUUGCGACCAGACCUUUUCUUGGCGGAUCAUCCGGUGUUAUCACCGGUGCACUUCGCCAAGUUGAGGCCAGCAUCGGUUUUUGUAGGGGGAUAAAAGCCUGGGGAAUGUGGCUCCUUCGGGAGUGUUAUAGCCCCUCGCAUAAUACCCUUACGGGGACCGAGGACCGCGCUUUAUGCAAGGAUGCUGGCGUAAUGGUCGUCAACGACCCGU
RNAcentral lists this ribosomal RNA (1161 nucleotides) under Xylaria curta. RNAcentral describes it as "eukaryotic LSU rRNA". The stretch from base 542 to 1161 matches the Rfam family "Eukaryotic large subunit ribosomal RNA", at positions 1 to 652 of the family's 3401-position model. The record is from RNAcentral. Lineage: Eukaryota; Fungi; Ascomycota; Sordariomycetes; Xylariales; Xylariaceae.